ACCGCUUCCGUCUCACCUACCUGAGGUAAUAGACCAACUGGCCGUUCGGCUAGCAAGGACAUCGCUAGACCAGAAUGUCGUUGAUUCUCUGCAGAGAUUCCAGCGUGCGGCGAACUAUAUUGCUGCCGCUAUGAUAUUCCUGCAGGACAAUGCAUGCCUAAAGCGAGAGUUGAAAUUUGACGAUAUUAAACCGAGAUUAUUGGGCCAUUGGGGAACCUGCCCAGGGCUGACCUUCGUCUAUUCCCACCUGAAUUACUUGAUUUGCAAGCAUGACCUUGACAUGAUAUAUGUUGUGGGACCGGGUCAUGGCGCACCAGGAAUCCUAGCUGCGCUCUGGAUGGAAGGUUCUCUGGAGAAAUUCUAUCCAGGAUAU
RNAcentral lists this small RNA (373 nucleotides) under Histoplasma capsulatum. Its description in RNAcentral is "hypothetical RNA". RNAcentral also lists the same sequence under 1 other name. The record is from RNAcentral. Lineage: Eukaryota; Fungi; Ascomycota; Eurotiomycetes; Onygenales; Ajellomycetaceae.